Molecule: transfer RNA, 75 nt
Filed under: Deltaproteobacteria bacterium
Lineage: Bacteria; Pseudomonadati; Myxococcota; Myxococcia
Also listed under: 3 other names
Description: tRNA-Val
Rfam family: tRNA
About the family: Transfer RNA (tRNA) molecules are approximately 80 nucleotides in length.
Source: RNAcentral
GGGCGGGUAGCUCAGGGGUAGAGCGGCGCCCUUACAAGGCGUUGGUCGGAGGUUCGAAUCCUCUCUCGCCCACCA